GUGAGUAACGCGUGGGAACGUACCUUUUGGUUCGGAACAACUGAGGGAAACUUCAGCUAAUACCGAAUAAGCCCUUACGGGGAAAGAUUUAUCGCCGAAAGAUCGGCCCGCGUCUGAUUAGCUUGUUGGUGAGGUAACGGCUCACCAAGGCGACGAUCAGUAGCUGGUCUGAGAGGAUGAUCAGCCACAUUGGGACUGAGACACGGCCCAAACUCCUACGGGAGGCAGCAGUGGGGAAUAUUGGACAAUGGGCGAAAGCCUGAUCCAGCCAUGCCGCGUGAGUGAUGAAGGCCCUAGGGUUGUAAAGCUCUUUUGUGCGGGAAGAUAAUGACGGUACCGCAAGAAUAAGCCCCGGCUAACUUCGUGCCAGCAGCCGCGGUAAUACGAAGGGGGCUAGCGUUGCUCGGAAUCACUGGGCGUAAAGGGUGCGUAGGCGGGUUUCUAAGUCAGAGGUGAAAGCCUGGAGCUCAACUCCAGAACUGCCUUUGAUACUGGAAGUCUUGAGUUCGGGAGAGGUGAGUGGAACUGCGAGUGUAGAGGUGAAAUUCGUAGAUAUUCGCAAGAACACCAGUGGCGAAGGCGGCUCACUGGCCCGAUACUGACGCUGAGGCACGAAAGCGUGGGGAGCAAACAGGAUUAGAUACCCUGGUAGUCCACGCCGUAAAC
This 666-nucleotide ribosomal RNA is filed under the name bacterium enrichment culture clone NCCG3. Its description in RNAcentral is "bacterial SSU rRNA". It matches the Rfam family "Bacterial small subunit ribosomal RNA", at positions 106 to 807 of the family's 1533-position model. The record is from RNAcentral.